GCAUUUGUCGAGUCAAAGAUGUUAAGUUGCUAAGUGAUUGAAGUUGUGAUUCUUUGUAUGAACUAUGAAUGAAGUGAAUAAAUGAUAUAUUAUUAUCUACGAUGAAUAUUAUGAUGUUUUAAUGUUGUUAAAUAUAAUUGUUGAAUUAUAUGCUUAAUAUUAUUGUUUUGUGAAAUCUCACCCCUUAUGCUUGGAAAUGUUGCUCUUCGUAUGAGUAACUUGCAGGUGAUCGAGAGUAGUGCUGUUGCUUUGCUGUCGUGAGUGG
Molecule: long non-coding RNA, 265 nt
Filed under: Medicago truncatula (barrel medic)
Lineage: Eukaryota; Viridiplantae; Streptophyta; Magnoliopsida; Fabales; Fabaceae
Description: long non-coding RNA (MTRU_LNC004263)
Source: RNAcentral